This 497-nucleotide ribosomal RNA is filed under the name uncultured bacterium. RNAcentral describes it as "partial 16S ribosomal RNA". It matches the Rfam family "Bacterial small subunit ribosomal RNA", at positions 28 to 507 of the family's 1533-position model. The record is from RNAcentral.
GAUGAACGCUGGCGGCGUGCCUAAUACAUGCUAGUCGAGCGAACAGACGAGGAGCUUGCUCCUCUGACGUUAGCGGCGGACGGGUGAGUAACACGUGGAUAACCUACCUAUAAGACUGGGAUAACUUCGGGAAACCGGAGCUAAUACCGGAUAACAUGUUGAACCGCAUGGUUCAACAGUGAAAGACGGUUUUGCUGUCACUUAUAGAUGGAUCCGCGCCGCAUUAGCUAGUUGGUAAGGUAACGGCUUACCAAAGCAACGAUGCGUAGCCGACCUGAGAGGGUGAUCGGCCACACUGGAACUGAGACACGGUCCAGACUCUUACGGGAGGCAGCAGUAGGGAAUCUUCCGCAAUGGGCGAAAGCCUGACGGAGAAACGCAGCGUGCGUGAAGAAGGUCUUCGGAUCGUAAAACUCUGUUAUUAGGGAAGAACAAAUGUGUAAGUAACUAUGCACGUCUUGACGGUACCUAAUCAGAAAGCCACGGCUAACUACGUG